UGUGGUUGAAAAGUGUGAUAUUAAAGCUAUAUUUUUUUAUAAAUGAGUUGCACAGACUGCAGAUUGCAGGCUACAGGCUACAGUAUCGAGACCUAUGAAGAUAUUUACUUCUUUUAAACACUAUUUUAUUGUAAAUCCUGUUGGUGGCAUAAAUAGUAGAAUUAUAUGAAAGUUAGGGGAUCGAAGCCGAUGAGAUACCGUUGUAGUCUUAACCAUAAACUAUGCCGACAAGGGUUUGGUGGUAGUUGGCUAUUUUACUCCAUCAGCACAUAUUUUGUGGUUCAUCGAUUGCCA
This 294-nucleotide non-coding RNA is filed under the name Sphaeroforma arctica JP610. RNAcentral describes it as "Eukaryotic small subunit ribosomal RNA". It matches the Rfam family "Eukaryotic small subunit ribosomal RNA", at positions 614 to 1101 of the family's 1831-position model. The record is from Rfam by way of RNAcentral. Lineage: Eukaryota; Ichthyosporea; Ichthyophonida.